GCGGAUGUGUACAUAUUUCCAC
This 22-nucleotide unclassified non-coding RNA is filed under the name Caenorhabditis elegans. RNAcentral describes it as "SL1 trans-spliced leader sequence". The record is from RNAcentral. Lineage: Eukaryota; Metazoa; Nematoda; Chromadorea; Rhabditida; Rhabditidae.